Molecule: non-coding RNA, 1530 nt
Organism: Larimichthys crocea (large yellow croaker)
Lineage: Eukaryota; Metazoa; Chordata; Actinopteri; Sciaenidae
Source: the annotation of a RefSeq genome assembly
UACAGGUCAAUGAGACAGCUGCACAAAUACUCAACAGUUGGUGUCACAGUAAACACAAGACAUCAGCGUCUUUAUCUCUAGGGGGAGAUUGAGAGCUGUAGACUUUACUGAUGUUUUUGGUUUGUAUUCUCGUGACUGUGUCAAAGUUCAUUUGAAAUGAUGGUCACACCGUACUCCACACUACAGUGUUUAGAAAACAUAAUUCAGAGACAAUUCAAUUAUUUAUUGUUUCAUUUCUUUUCUUUCUUUCUUUUGAAUUUCAGUAAAAUUGUACACAGUGAAUUUCUUUUUCUUUAUCUUCAGUAAAAAUCUUUAUUUUUUAUUUUUUGACUAAUUAAAAAUAAAUAAAUCAUGUUUCCUACAUUAAGUUAAAAGUGUACUGCAUUCUGUGACAGUCAGAAUCUAAAACAUCUUAUCUACAAACCACCGUCACCUCAUCACCUCUACGUUUGCUGUCUAAGAUAGUGACUUACACCUGGAAGUAAGAGAACCCAAACACUAAAAAUGUUUCAUGUUUUCACUGCUAACAUCUGCUAAUCAAGGCAAACAGAGGCAGCUUAAAUGUUAAUUUACAAGUAUCACUAGUGUAUGUGUGUGUAAGUGUGUGUCGUCUCACAGUAAUGACACACCUUUUUACAGAGAGCACCACCAUGUGACAGGAUGGAUGAUGUGAGGCUGAUAUCAGCUGCUGAGCUGAACGCCUCAGUGUCACUGAUCCGUCUGUUGAGCACAUCAAAAUGUUCUCAGCUCUCUUCUUCACUGUCUCUCUGUUCUGUGCUGCAGGUAGUACUGGGGGUACUGGAGUCCACCAGACCCCAGAGUUACUGGUAGAGAGGGGUCAGUCUGCUCAGAUGCACUGCAGUCAUGACCUUGGUGGCAGCUACUUUCAGAUGUGUUGGUAUCAACAGUUGGCAGGUGAGAGUAUGAAACUUGUAGUCCACACGGUGCCUUACAACAGCGAGCCAGACUUUGGGGAUUUUAGCCAGGACAAAUUCUCAGCCACGAAGGAUGAAGCAGAGAGCGGAUCGUUCACAGUGAAAAAUGUGGAACCAGAAGACAGUGGAGUGUAUUUCUGUGCCGUCAGCACGCUCACUGUGAUGCAGAUAGCUGUCAAGUUGUACAAAAACCACUCUCACUCUGGCAAUCUGUCUGAUCUGAUCAAACACACUGAAGUGGAAAAACAACAUAAGACACAGCUUGAAAAAGAUAAAAGUAACUGACAGCGUGUAACAGAAGGAAGCACAUGUUGCAGGUUGGAUCUACAGCUCAGACAAAACAAUAUAAAUGUCUUCAGACAAAAAGAUUUUAGGCUGUAAACAUUUUUAAAAGAGCAUUUCAAACACUUUGUUUAGAAAUAUAGAAUGAAUUCUAUUAUACUCUCGUUUAGUGUCAGCGAGCAGAUAAAAAUCAUUUGUUUGCUUCAUAUGGUGUUGACGUGAACAGUGUCUCUGUUCAUAUUCUUUUCAGGCCCUUAUAGAGACAAAUUUAACAUACAGAACUUACAGAUUAUGUAUGUUGAAAUUUAAAUCA